UGACUGUUGGGAGCGACGGCUACUUUUGA
RNAcentral lists this non-coding RNA (29 nucleotides) under Mus musculus (house mouse). The record is from RNAcentral. Lineage: Eukaryota; Metazoa; Chordata; Mammalia; Rodentia; Muridae.